Molecule: long non-coding RNA, 831 nt
Filed under: Chrysolophus pictus (golden pheasant)
Lineage: Eukaryota; Metazoa; Chordata; Aves; Galliformes; Phasianidae
Description: lncRNA (ENSCPIG00010010549.1)
Source: RNAcentral
AUGAAACAGGCCAGAUCCUCCUGCACAGCCCUCGCUGGAGCAGCCCUGCCCAGCCCUGCAGCUGCAGCGUGUUUGCAGGUCACCUCCCCACUAAUGCUCCCCAGCCCUCCUGGAGGACAGCGUGGAGUUACAAUCCUGUUUGGAUGUGUGUGUUGCCAGAGCCGUAUCCCGCCCUGCCUGCCGGCCCUGCAGCGGGCAUGCUGCCUGCCAGCCUCCAGCACCACUCUCGUUGCUCUUGGCCCAUUUCACCUCACUCUGUUUUACUCCUUCCACUCUCAGGACGCGUGUUAUCUCUGGUCUAGAUGGAGGAUUAAAAGGGGGCGCUGUCUCAGUCCUGUUCUUCCCAAGAGCAGGAUGCUAUGGCUCUCAGCACCACCUUGCCUUUCUACAGCCUCUGUGUCCAUGCAGAGAAGCUCUGAUCCUCCUUCCCAGUCCUUGGAAAGCUACCUAAUUUGGUGGCUAAACAUCCUCAGGGUGAGAUGCUGCCUGGUGCCCUGUCUUGGUCCCAGCUGGUGUCUAACAAAUCCAUGCUCUCUUCUCUUCCCAGCUCAGUGUUGGACGUGCUCUGAGAUACCCCAGCUCCAGCAGCCCACUGCCUCCAGGUGCCAGGCGGUGCUUGGGAGUAGCUUGUUCUUGAGUGCUGUGCCUGGGGGCCCCAUGGUAAUAAGCAUCGUACAAACCCAGGGCAACCUUACCCCAUGGAGGCUUGCCAGUAGGAGAUUGUCCAGGCCACAGCAGGUGACUGAGCAGAGGAAGCACUUGCUAUCCUUGCCCUACUGGACCAGACCAUCCUUCCCUUGGCUGCAGAUCCCACUGGAUCCCUUCCCAUAA